UUGAUGAUCUCGCAGCAAGGUACACCAGAACGUAGCACGAGAGAAGUACAUAGAUCGAGCCAGGAGCAUGGACCCGUGCUUACGUGUUGCAGUUGACGCUGGUGCUGAUCUUGUAGGGCAGGGAGACGCCGCACUUGCUGGGCAGCACGGCAGCGCGGUCGAUGUACGUGCCGGAGCCGCCGGCGGCGCUGUUGGCGACGUUCUUGAGGCAGCCGCAGAUGGUGCGGCGGUCGGGGGUGUUGCUGGCCUGCCGCAGCAGGUUGCGGAUGCCAUCGCAGCACGGCUGCGGGGGCAUCGCGCCGCCCAUCUGCACGAACGGCAGGCACGGCAUCAGGGUGUUGUACACCGUGGUGCAUGACAUGGCCGCGCGCACCGCGGCCGGGGGAGCCGCCAGGGUCGCCGCCAGGAGCACGGCCAGCGCCAGCGUCGCGAGCCUCGGAGCAGCCAUGCCUCGGAGCCUCUCUCCUUGUCCCUCGGUCACACGUACAAGAUGGCGGAGAGCAGCGAGCUAAAG
RNAcentral lists this long non-coding RNA (514 nucleotides) under Setaria italica (foxtail millet). RNAcentral's name for it is "long non-coding RNA (SITA_LNC004072)". The record is from RNAcentral. Lineage: Eukaryota; Viridiplantae; Streptophyta; Magnoliopsida; Poales; Poaceae.